Molecule: transfer RNA, 68 nt
Filed under: human gut metagenome
Also listed under: 1 other name
Rfam family: tRNA
About the family: Transfer RNA (tRNA) molecules are approximately 80 nucleotides in length.
Source: RNAcentral
CAAUUAGCUCAGUCGGUAGAGCACUCGGCUGUUAACCGAUAGGUCGUAGGUUCGAGCCCUACAUUGGC